This 497-nucleotide ribosomal RNA is filed under the name uncultured bacterium. RNAcentral's name for it is "partial 16S ribosomal RNA". It matches the Rfam family "Bacterial small subunit ribosomal RNA", at positions 28 to 507 of the family's 1533-position model. The record is from RNAcentral.
GAUGAACGCUGGCGGCGUGCCUAAUACAUGCAAGUCGAGCGAACAGACGAGUAGCUUGCUCCUCUGACGUUAGCGGCGGACGGGUGAGUAACACGUGGAUAACCUACCUAUAAGACUGGGAUAACUUCGGGAAACCGGAGCUAAUACCGGAUAAUAUAUUGAACCGCAUGGUUCAAUAGUGCAAGACGUUUUUUCUGUCACUUAUAGAUGGAUCCCCGCCGCAUUAGCUAGUUGGUAAGGUAACGGCUUACCAAGGCAACGAUGCGUAGCCGACCUGAGAGGGUGAUCGGCCACACUGGAACUGAGACACGGUCCAGACUCCUACGGGAGGCAGCAGUAGGGAAUCUUCCGCAAUGGGCGAAAGCCUGACGGAGCAACGCCGCGUGAGUGAUGAAGGUCUUCGGAUCGUAAAACUCUGUUAUUAGGGAAGAACAAAUGUGUAAGUAACUAUGCACGUCUUGACGGUACCUAAUCAGAAAGCCACGGCUAACUACGUG